AACGAACGCUGGCGGCAGGCCUAACACAUGCAAGUCGAGCGAGAAGCUUCUUUCGGGAAGUGGAGAGCGGCGGACGGGUUAGUAACGCGUGGGAACAUGCCCUAAAGUCUGGGAUAACUAUUAGAAAUGAUAGCUAAUACCGGAUGGUCCCUUCGGGGUAAAGCUUUAGCGCUUUAGGAUUGGCCCGCGUAAGAUUAGCUAGUUGGUGAGGUAAUGGCUCACCAAGGCAACGAUCUUUAGCUGGUUUGAGAGGAUGAUCAGCAACACUGGAACUGAGACACGGUCCAG
RNAcentral lists this ribosomal RNA (288 nucleotides) under uncultured bacterium. RNAcentral's name for it is "partial 16S ribosomal RNA". It matches the Rfam family "Bacterial small subunit ribosomal RNA", at positions 29 to 334 of the family's 1533-position model. The record is from RNAcentral.